GUUAGCCAUUCUAGUAGUAGAGCGCGCGGUUUAAAAAUGGAAAAAAAAAAUGAUCUUAUACUACAGCUCCAUGGAUGCGGAAGCCAUGACGCUAUCCGACUACUGCCUGAUACCGCAUGUGCACUAUUCUGGGCUUCUGGCAGACUGGCCCAGACGACUGGAGUAGACAGUAGACACAAACCAUCUACCGAAAAACCAUGUCAAGUGGGAACACCGAACGGAAACGGAGACCGGGAGCCACGCGCGCGUCACUGUCCAGGCCAGGUGGGAUGCACACACGAACGGCCGUACC
Molecule: long non-coding RNA, 292 nt
Filed under: Setaria italica (foxtail millet)
Lineage: Eukaryota; Viridiplantae; Streptophyta; Magnoliopsida; Poales; Poaceae
Description: long non-coding RNA (SITA_LNC004012)
Source: RNAcentral